AGUUCGAGGCAACCAGCGGCUCGCGGAAAUUGGCCUGCUGCAUCGGAUCGAAAUAGCCGGUGGGGCUCGCCAUCAUCAAAGUGAAGGUGCGGGUCGAGCUCAGCCACUGCAGGAAGAGGAAUGCGGCUUCGGCGUUCGGCGACUUGGACGAGAUCCAGCCGCUGAUGCUGUAAUGCAGGAUCGACCGGCGGUUGAUCUUGUCGCCGAACCGGCGACCGACGGGAGCAUGCG
RNAcentral lists this non-coding RNA (231 nucleotides) under Kaistia soli DSM 19436. RNAcentral describes it as "Ruegeria cis90 sRNA". It matches the Rfam family "Ruegeria cis90 sRNA". From Rfam's summary of the family: Cis-encoded. Targets ABC transporter. The record is from Rfam by way of RNAcentral. Lineage: Bacteria; Pseudomonadati; Pseudomonadota; Alphaproteobacteria; Hyphomicrobiales; Kaistiaceae.